GCAGGUAGAAGCAUGCCCUCCAGUAGCUCAUAAGCAACCCUCCAAUCUUUGAACGAAGCAUCUGGCGAGAGGGAGGUUGCACCAAGUUUUUGGUCAUUUGGAACCUUUAUGGAAAUCGAACUUGGUUGCUUAUCUUGAAGGUCAGAUUGAUAGCUCCCCUCAAUUUUGGGUAUAGGAAGGGUGGCAAGCUUGGAAGAGCCUGCCUGAGUAGGAGUGGCCAAGAUGACUUUAGCCUAGGUAGAAG
This 244-nucleotide long non-coding RNA is filed under the name Elaeis guineensis (African oil palm). Its description in RNAcentral is "long non-coding RNA (EGUI_LNC009948)". Lineage: Eukaryota; Viridiplantae; Streptophyta; Magnoliopsida; Arecales; Arecaceae. The record is from RNAcentral.